RNAcentral lists this small RNA (3787 nucleotides) under Pongo abelii (Sumatran orangutan). RNAcentral describes it as "retained intron". The record is from RNAcentral. Lineage: Eukaryota; Metazoa; Chordata; Mammalia; Primates; Hominidae.
AAUAAUUAAGAAGGCUUUGCAAUCAAUUAGACAUUCCCAACACAUUCCAAGUAGCUCUGGCCAGUGGUCUCCAGCUCAGCGUGGUCUGCUUUUGUGUUGCAGUUGGGAUUCUCAGCUCCCUGGCUUCACCUUCAAUGACAUGUUUCUCUCCAUUUCUACGCGUCUUCCGUCUCAGUACAUCUAUGGCUUUGGGGAAACUGAGCACACGACUUUCAGAAGAAACAUGAACUGGAACACAUGGGGAAUGUUUUCUCGUGAUGAGCCACCUACGUACAAGAAGAAUGCCUAUGGUGUCCACCCUUACUACAUGGCACUGGAGGAGGAUGGCAGCGCCCAUGGAGUGCUCCUGCUAAAUAGCAAUGCCAUGGAUGUGACAUUACAGCCCACUCCUGCCCUGACAUACCGCACCACAGGAGGGAUUUUGGACUUCUACAUUGUUUUGGGGCCAACCCCUGAACUUGUAACUCAGCAAUACACAGAGUUGAUUGGUCGGCCAGCAAUGAUUCCAUACUGGGCCUUGGGAUUCCAGCUGAGUCGCUAUGGAUACCAGAAUGAUGCUGAAAUCUCCAGUUUGUAUGAUGCAAUGGUGGCAGCCCAGAUUCCCUAUGACGUCCAGCAUGUAGACAUCGAUUACAUGAACCGGAAGCUGGAUUUCACCCUCAGUGCCAACUUUCAAAACCUCAGUGUUCUGAUUGAGCAAAUGAAGAAAAAUGGCAUGAGAUUUAUUCUCAUUUUGGACCCAGCCAUUUCUGGCAAUGAGACACAGUAUCUCCCAUUCAUUAGAGGACAGGAAAAUAACGUGUUCAUCAAAUGGCCUGACACCAAUGACAUUGUCUGGGGAAAGGUUUGGCCAGAUCUGCCUAAUGUAAUUGUAGAUGGAUCCCUUGACCAUGAAACUCAGGUUAAGCUUUACAGGGCCUACGUUGCCUUUCCUGACUUCUUUCGUAAUAGCACAGCUGCGUGGUGGAAGAAAGAGAUAGAAGAGCUCUAUGCAAACCCUCGAGAGCCAGAGAAGAGCUUGAAGUUUGAUGGAUUGUGGAUUGAUAUGAAUGAGCCAUCAAAUUUUGUGGAUGGAUCUGUCAGGGGCUGCAGCGAUGAAAUGCUAAAUAACCCACCCUAUAUGCCAUAUUUGGAAUCCAGGGACAAGGGCCUGAACAGCAAGACCCUGUGCAUGGAGAGUCAGCAGAUCCUGCCAGACAGCUCCUCCGUGCAGCACUACAAUGUUCACAGCCUGUACGGGUGGUCCCAGACCAGACCCACAUACGAAGCUGUGCAGGAGGUGACAGGACAGCGAGGGGUCGUCAUCACCCGCUCCACAUUUCCCUCUUCUGGACGCUGGGGAGGACACUGGCUGGGAGACAACACAGCUGAGUGGGACCAGCUGGGGAAAUCUAUCAUUGGCAUGAUGGAUUUCAGUCUCUUUGGAAUACCUUAUACAGGAGCAGAUAUCUGUGGGUUCUUUGGAGAUGCUGAAUAUGAGAUGUGUGUUCGCUGGAUGCAACUGGGGGCAUUUUAUCCAUUUUCCAGAAACCACAACAACAUCGGGACAAGGAGACAAGAUCCUGUGGCCUGGAAUUCAACCUUUGAGAUGUUGUCCAGAGAAGUCCUAGAGACCAGAUACACCCUGCUUCCUUAUCUCUAUACUCUGAUGCAUAAAGCUCACGUUGAGGGCAGCACUGUUGUCCGGCCCCUUCUCCAUGAGUUUACGGAUGACAGGACAACAUGGGAUAUAGACCGUCAGUUCAUGUUGGGCCCUGCUAUCUUAAUCAGCCCUGUGUUGGAAACUAGCACAUUUGAGGUCUCUGCUUAUUUUCCAAGAGCCCGUUGGUAUGACUAUAGCACGGGAACUGGCAGCAAAUCGACAGGUCAGAGGAAAAUCCUGAAGGCUCCCCUUGACCACAUCAACCUUCAUGUCAGAGGAGGCUACAUCCUGCCCUGGCAAGAGCCUGCAAUGAACACUCACUCCAGUCGACAAAAUUUUAUGGGAUUGAUUAUUGCUUUGGAUGACAAUGGGACAGCUGAAGGCCAGGUGUUCUGGGAUGAUGGACAAAGCAUUGUCUUUAACCUCACAGCUAUGUGAACUCCUACGACUACAUGCUUGCUAUCUCGCACAGAAUAACCAAACAGUAGUCUCCACACUUCAGAUACCUAUGAAAAUGGAAAUUAUUUUUUGGCAAACUUUAUAGCAGCUCAGAACUUCCUGCAAAUCCAGACCAUACACAAUAAGUAUUUGAGUGACUCGAAUCCACUAAAAGUUGGGUAUAUUAGAAUCUGGGGUGUGAAUACCUAUGUGACACAAGUCAGUUACACCUAUGACAAUCAGCAAUUUAUGGAGACAAAUUUCAAGAGUGACCCUUAUAAUCAGAUACUAAAUAUUCAAUUGACUGACAAGACUGUCAACCUGGAAAAGUUAACUGAGGUUACUUGGAUUGAUGGUGGUCCUGUACUUCCUACUCCAACUGAGACAAGUACCAUCCCAAUGAGUUCUCAUCCUUCUCCAUCUACUACCAAUGCCACCAGUUCUGAGACAAUCACCAGUUCUGCCAGUGCAAAUACUACCACUGGCACUACUGCUACUGUUCCUAUCACAACCACAUCUUUCCCAAGUACUACUAAUGUUACAACUAAUACUACUGUUACUGAUACAACUUCUCCUUUCCCUACAAGUACUACUAAUGCUAGCACUAAUGCUACUGUUCCUAUCACAACCACACGUUUUGCAACAAGUACUAUUGGUGUUACAACUAAUGCUACUGUUCCCGAUACAACUGCCCCUUUCCCAACGAAUACUACUACUGCUAGCACUAAUGCUACUAUUCCUAUCACAACCACACCUUUUGCAACAAGUACUAUUGGUGUUACAACUAGUACUACUAUUCCUGAUACAACUGCUCCUUUCCCUACAAGUACUACUAGUGCUAGCACUAAUGCUACCCCUGUUCCUAUCACAACCACACUUUUUGCAACAAGUACUAUUGGUGUUACAACUGGUACUACUGUUCCUGAUACAACUGCUCCUUUCCCUACAAGUACUACUAGUGCUAGCACUAAUGCUACCCCUGUUCCUAUCACAGCCACACUUUUUGCAACAAGUACUAUUGGUGUUACAACUGGUACUACUGUUCCUGAUACAACUGCUCCUUUCCCUACAAGUACUACUGGUGCUAGCACUAGUGCUACUGUUCCUAUUACAACCACAUCUUCCCUUACAAAUACUGCUGAUGCUAACACUAGUAAUAGUGUUCCUAAUACCACUAUGCCUUCUCCUACAAGUAGUACUACUGUGCGUACUAUUGCUACCGUUCCCAUGUCAGUGACUCCUUCUCUGACAAGUACUGCUGAUGCCACCAUUAGCACUACUGUACUUAUUGCCACUACUUCUUCUCUAACAGGUACUACUGAUGUUAGCACUAGUACUACUAUUAAUAAUAUAAGUACUCCUGUUCAAACAAAUACUACUAAUGCUAGUACUAGUACUAAUGUUGCUAAUAUAACUGCUACCUCUCAUACAAGUACUGAUGAUACUGUUCCUAAUAAUACUGUUCCAAUUACAGCUAUUCCUUCUCUUGCAAAUACUGGUGUUGACACUACUAGCAACAGUUUUUCCAUUAUGACCACUUCUCUCUCUGAAAGUACUAAUGCUAUGAACACUGCUGUUAUUAUGGCAACUACUUCUCCUACAAGUACUGAUGUUGCUAGCACAAAUAAUGAUGCUUCUAUGACAAAUUUUCUUUUAGCUACAAUGUCUGCUGGUAAUACAACUAGUAAUAGUAUUUCCAUAACAACU